RNAcentral lists this ribosomal RNA (254 nucleotides) under uncultured bacterium. RNAcentral describes it as "partial 16S ribosomal RNA". It matches the Rfam family "Bacterial small subunit ribosomal RNA", at positions 524 to 776 of the family's 1533-position model. The record is from RNAcentral.
UACGUAGGGUGCGAGCGUUGUCCGGAAUUAUUGGGCGUAAAGAGCUCGUAGGCGGUGUGUCGCGUCGGCCGUGAAAACCUGGGGCUUAACUCUGGGCGUGCGGUCGAUACGGGCAUCACUAGAGUUCGGCAGGGGAGACUGGAAUUCCUGGUGUAGCGGUGAAAUGCGCAGAUAUCAGGAGGAACACCGGUGGCGAAGGCGGGUCUCUGGGCCGAUACUGACGCUGAGGAGCGAAAGCAUGGGUAGCGAGCAGG